RNAcentral lists this ribosomal RNA (253 nucleotides) under uncultured Lachnospiraceae bacterium. RNAcentral's name for it is "partial 16S ribosomal RNA". It matches the Rfam family "Bacterial small subunit ribosomal RNA", at positions 524 to 776 of the family's 1533-position model. Lineage: Bacteria; Bacillati; Bacillota; Clostridia; Lachnospirales; Lachnospiraceae. The record is from RNAcentral.
UACGUAGGGGGCAAGCGUUAUCCGGAUUUACUGGGUGUAAAGGGAGCGUAGACGGUGAUGCAAGUCAGAAGUGAAAGCCCGGGGCUCAACUCCGGGACUGCUUUUGAAACUGUGUGACUGGAGUGCAGGAGAGGUAAGCGGAAUUCUUGGUGUAGGGGUAAAAUCCGUAGAGAUCAAGAGGAAUACUCAUUGCGAAGGCGACCUGCUAGAACAUAACUGACGCUGAUGCGCGAAAGCGUGGGGAGCAAACAGG